GACGAACGCUGGCGGCGUGCUUAACACAUGCAAGUCGAACGGAAAGACCCUGCUCUUGCUUCGCGCUCGUUUGGCGCACAGGUGUGUAAAACGCGAGUAACAUGCACCUGUCUUACUGAUAAAUUCAGGGAAAUGCGGCUCAAAUCCGAUAGAAUCUCCUGCUCCGCGUGGUGGGAUAGAAAAAUCCGGCGGUUGGGGCUGGUCUGGCGGCUUAUCAGCUUGUUUGUGAGGUUGUGGAUUACCAAGCCUUUGACGGGUAGGCGGCCUGGGAGGGUGGCCGGGCACAUUGGGACUGAGAUACGGCCCAGACUCCUACGGGACGCAGUAGUGGGGAAUAUGGCACAAUGGGCCGACGCCAGAUGCAGCAACGCCGCGUGCGGGAUGCCGGCCUUCGGGUUGUGAACAGCUUUCGCCUGUGACGUAGCGUGAGUGACGGUAAUGGGUAAAAAAGCACCGGCUAACUACGUG
RNAcentral lists this ribosomal RNA (468 nucleotides) under uncultured bacterium. Its description in RNAcentral is "partial 16S ribosomal RNA". It matches the Rfam family "Bacterial small subunit ribosomal RNA", at positions 28 to 507 of the family's 1533-position model. The record is from RNAcentral.